AAUCAACGCUGGCGGCGUGCCUCAGACAUGCAAGUCGAACGAUUAAAGCUCUCUUCGGAGAGUGUAUAGAGUGGCGCACGGGUGAGUAACACGUAAGUAAUCUACCUUUGAGUGGGGAAUAACAGUCGGAAACGACUGCUAAUACCGCAUAAUGCAGCGGCAUCGCAAGAUGACAGUUGUUAAAGGAGCAAUCCGCUUAAAGAGGAGCUUGCGGCAGAUUAGCUAGUUGGUAAGGUAAUGGCUUACCAAGGCUACGAUCUGUAUCCGGUCUAAGAGGACGGUCGGACACACUGACACUGAAUAACGGGUCAGACUCCUACGGGAGGCAGCAGUCGGGAAUUUUGGGCAAUGGGCGAAAGCCUGACCCAGCAACGCCGCGUGAAGGAUGAAGUAUUUCGGUAUGUAAACUUCGAAAGAAUGGGAAGAAUAAAUGACGGUACCAUUUAUAAGGUCCGGCUAACUACGUGCCAGCAGCCGCGGUAAC
RNAcentral lists this ribosomal RNA (484 nucleotides) under uncultured bacterium. RNAcentral describes it as "bacterial SSU rRNA". It matches the Rfam family "Bacterial small subunit ribosomal RNA", at positions 32 to 524 of the family's 1533-position model. The record is from RNAcentral.